This 492-nucleotide ribosomal RNA is filed under the name uncultured bacterium. Its description in RNAcentral is "partial 16S ribosomal RNA". It matches the Rfam family "Bacterial small subunit ribosomal RNA", at positions 29 to 507 of the family's 1533-position model. The record is from RNAcentral.
AGUGAACGCUGGCGGUAGGCCUAACACAUGCAAGUCGAACGGCAGCACAGUAAGAGCUUGCUCUUACGGGUGGCGAGUGGCGGACGGGUGAGGAAUACAUCGGAAUCUACUUUUUCGUGGGGGAUAACGUAGGGAAACUUACGCUAAUACCGCAUACGACCUACGGGUGAAAGCAGGGGAUCUUCGGACCUUGCGCGAUUGAAUGAGCCGAUGUCGGAUUAGCUAGUUGGCGGGGUAAAGGCCCACCAAGGCGACGAUCCGUAGCUGGUCUGAGAGGAUGAUCGGCCACCCUGGAACUGAGACACGGUCCAGACUCCUACGAGAGGCAGCAGUGGGGAAUAUUGGACAAUGGGCGCAAGCCUGAUCCAGCCAUACCGCGUGGGUGAAGAAGGCCUUCGGGUUGUAAAGCCCUUUUGUUGGGAAAGAAAAGCAGCAGGUUAAUACCCCGCUGUUCUGACGGUACCCAAAGAAUAAGCACCGGCUAACUUCGUG